Molecule: transfer-messenger RNA, 348 nt
Filed under: Acidobacteriota bacterium
Lineage: Bacteria; Pseudomonadati; Acidobacteriota
Description: Acidobacteria bacterium transfer-messenger RNA
Rfam family: transfer-messenger RNA
About the family: Bacterial tmRNA, also known as 10Sa RNA or SsrA, is named for its dual tRNA and mRNA-like properties. Its role is to liberate the mRNA from a stalled ribosome. To accomplish this part of the tmRNA is used as a reading frame that ends in a translation stop signal.
Source: RNAcentral
GGGGGUGUACCGGCUUCGACGGGGGACCUACCGAGACUGAGAAGCGUGCCCGCGUUCGUCGGCGGUUUCAGGCGAAAAAUCACAGUUGCAGAACCUCAACUGAAAAUGGCGGCUUAGGCCGCCCCGAGACCCGACUGCCUUUGUCACGGGCGCGGGAUCUCGGACGUUUCGUGACAUGCGGAUCUUGGUCGUCGUUGGUACGCCAGGGCCAAAGGCUUUGUGCCAACUGGCCGGCUUCCAGGGUGCUCGAUGCUCGGGAUUCCAGCGAGAGAAAUCAUCGAGAUGCGCACGGAGAAGCUCGUCAAGGUGUUGCCUCGGACAGGGGUUCGACUCCCCUCACCUCCACCA